UACGUAGGGUGCAAGCGUUGUCCGGAAUUAUUGGGCGUAAAGAGCUCGUAGGCGGUCUGUCGCGUCGGCUGUGAAAACUCGGGGGCUCAACUCCGAGCUUGCAGUCGAUACGGGCAGGCUAGAGUUCGGCAGGGGGAGACUGGAAUUCCUGGUGUAGCGGUGAAAUGCGCGAUAUAGGAGGAACACCGGUGGCGAAGGGCGG
This 202-nucleotide ribosomal RNA is filed under the name uncultured bacterium. RNAcentral's name for it is "partial 16S ribosomal RNA". It matches the Rfam family "Bacterial small subunit ribosomal RNA", at positions 524 to 725 of the family's 1533-position model. The record is from RNAcentral.